UACAGAGGUCCCGAGCGUUGUUCGGAUUCGACUGGGCGUAAAGGGUGCGCAGGUGGGUUUGCAAGUUUGAUGUGAAAGCCCCGGGCUCAAACCCGGGAAGUGCAUUCGAUACUGCUUAGCUUGAAUGUUGGAGAGGGUAGUAGAAUUCCAGGUGUAGUGGUGAAAUACGUAGAUAUCUGGAGGAAUACCGGAUGGCGAAGGCGGCUACCUGCCAAACAUUGACGCUGAGAGACGAAAGUGGCGGGGGAGUCAAAACAGGAUUAGACUAC
Molecule: ribosomal RNA, 269 nt
Filed under: uncultured bacterium
Lineage: Bacteria
Description: partial 16S ribosomal RNA
Rfam family: Bacterial small subunit ribosomal RNA
Source: RNAcentral